Molecule: ribosomal RNA, 1232 nt
Filed under: 'Mukaria splendida' phytoplasma
Lineage: Bacteria; Bacillati; Mycoplasmatota; Mollicutes; Acholeplasmatales; Acholeplasmataceae
Description: bacterial SSU rRNA
Rfam family: Bacterial small subunit ribosomal RNA
Source: RNAcentral
GACUGGAUAGGAAGAUAAAAGGCAUCUUUUAUCUUUUAAAAGACCUAGUAAUAGGUAUGCUUUAGGAGGGGCUUGCGCCAUAUUAGUUAGUUGGUAGGGUAAUGGCCUACCAAGACGAUGAUGUGUAGCUGGACUGAGAGGUUGAACAGCCACAUUGGGACUGAGACACGGCCCAAACUCCUACGGGAGGCAGCAGUAGGGAAUUUUCGGCAAUGGAGGAAACUCUGACCGAGCAACGCCGCGUGAAUGACGAAGUACUUCGGUAUGUAAAGUUCUUUUAUCAAGGAAGAAAAGCAAAUGGCGAACCAUUUGUUUGCCGGUACUUGAUGAAUAAGCCCCGGCUAAUUAUGUGCCAGCAGCCGCGGUAAGACAUAAGGGGCAAGUGUUAUCCGGAAUUAUUGGGCGUAAAGGGUGCGUAGGCGGUCUAGUAAGUCAGUGGUGUAAUGGCAACGCUUAACGUUGUCCGGCUAUUGAAACUGCUAAACUUGAGUUAGAUAGAGGCGAGUGGAAUUCCAUGUGUAGCGGUAAAAUGCGUAAAUAUAUGGAGGAACACCAGAGGCGUAGGCGGCUCGCUGGGUCUUAACUGACGCUGAGGCACGAAAGCGUGGGGAGCAAACAGGAUUAGAUACCCUGGUAGUCCACGCCGUAAACGAUGAGUACUAAGUGUCGGGUUAAACCGGUACUGAAGUUAACACAUUAAGUACUCCGCCUGAGUAGUACGUACGCAAGUAUGAAACUUAAAGGAAUUGACGGGACUCCGCACAAGCGGUGGAUCAUGUUGUUUAAUUCGAAGAUACCCGAAAAACCUUACCAGGUCUUGACAUGUUUUUGCAAAAUGAUAGUAAUAUCGUGGAGGUUACCAGAAACACAGGUGGUGCAUGGUUGUCGUCAGCUCGUGUCGUGAGAUGUUAGGUUAAGUCCUAAAACGAGCGAAACCCUUAUCGUUAGUUGCCAGCACGUUAUGGUGGGGACUUUAACGAGACUGCCAAUGAUAAAUUGGAGGAAGGUGAGGAUCACGUCAAAUCAGCAUGCCCCUUAUGACCUGGGCUACAAACGUGAUACAAUGGCUGUUACAAAGGGUAGCUGAAACGCAAGUUCUUGGCCAAUCCCCAAAAACAGUCCCAGUCCGGAUUGAAGUCUGCAACUCGACUUCAUGAAGUUGGAAUCGCUAGUAAUCGCGAAUCAGCAUGUCGCGGUGAAUACGUUCUCGGGGUUUGUACACACCGCCCGUC